RNAcentral lists this ribosomal RNA (371 nucleotides) under uncultured organism. RNAcentral describes it as "bacterial SSU rRNA". It matches the Rfam family "Bacterial small subunit ribosomal RNA", at positions 527 to 896 of the family's 1533-position model. The record is from RNAcentral.
CAGAGGGGCAAGCGUUGUUCGGAAUUACUGGGCGUAAAGGGCGCGUAGGCGGCCUGCUAAGUCGAACAUGAAAUCCCCGAGCUCAACUCGGGAACUGCGUCCGAUACUGGCAGGCUUGAAUCCGGGAGAGGGAUGCGGAAUUCCAGGUGUAGCGGUGAAAUGCGUAGAUAUCUGGAGGAACACCGGUGGCGAAGGCGGCAUCCUGGACCGGCAUUGACGCUGAGGCGCGAAAGCCAGGGGAGCAAACGGGAUUAGAUACCCCGGUAGUCCUGGCCCUAAACGAUGAAUGCUUGGUGUGGCGGGUAUCGAUCCCUGCCGUGCCGAGGCUAACGCAUUAAGCAUUCCGCCUGGGGAGUACGGUCGCAAGGCUG